This 223-nucleotide long non-coding RNA is filed under the name Capsicum annuum. Its description in RNAcentral is "long non-coding RNA (CANN_LNC007454)". Lineage: Eukaryota; Viridiplantae; Streptophyta; Magnoliopsida; Solanales; Solanaceae. The record is from RNAcentral.
CUCGACGUACGAGCCUAAAAUGCUAGUCAAGAUGCUCCUCGAUGCAUGAGCCUAAACUACAAGUCAAGAUGCUCCUCAAUGCACGAGCCUAAACUGCAUGUCAAAAAUGCUCCUCGAUGCACAAGCCUAAACUAGAAGCCAAGAUAUUCUUUGCUGCACGGGCUUAAACUGCAAGUCAAAAAUGCAUCUCGAUACACGAGCCUAAACUGUAAAUAAAAAAUGC